RNAcentral lists this long non-coding RNA (3597 nucleotides) under Papio anubis (olive baboon). RNAcentral's name for it is "lncRNA (ENSPANG00000043383.1)". The record is from RNAcentral. Lineage: Eukaryota; Metazoa; Chordata; Mammalia; Primates; Cercopithecidae.
AUGCUGGCUCAAAGUGUGAUCCAAUCAACAUGCUGCAGACAGGAUGGCUCAACUGUUGCUUCCCAACGUUGGGGAUCAUCUGGGUUCCUGUUGCCUGGCAGAGCGCCAGGUGCCACCACCUCCGUGAAGCACCAGACAAGCCCGCUGCUGUGCACUGCUGCAGCUGACUGCCAGGACGGCUCACACUCCCCUAUCUGCAUCAACUGUGACUUGAUCUGUGUCGGUAUGUGUGCCACGCUUUCCCCAACUAGACCGAUGCCUCUUAAGGUCAGAACAGUGUCCCGGUUGUCACCACAGCAGUAAUAAUCAUCAUUCUCAUUAACUAUUUUUUGUUUAUGAGACAAAGUCUUACUUGUCGCCCAGGCUGGAGUGCAGUGGCACGAUCUCGGCUAACGGCAACCUCAGCCUCCCGGGUUCAAGCGAUUCUCCUGCCUCAGCCUCCUGAAUAGCUGGAAAUACGGAUGUGUACUACCACGUUCGGCUAAUUUGUUUGUAUUUUUAAUAGAGACGGGGUUUCACCAUGUUGGCCAGGCUGGUCUUGAACUCCUGACCUCAGGUGAUCCACCUGCCUUGGCCUCCCAAAGUGCUGGGAUUAUAGGCGUGAGCCACUGCACCCGGCCCUCAUUAACUUUUGAGUGCUCAGUAUGUUCUACUUUGUCUUCAGAAUUUCGUAUACAUUGUAUUUAAUCCUCCCAAUGAUCCUAUUUAGUAGGUGCUAUUAUUCUCCAUGAACAGGUGAAGAAGCCAAAACAUGCCCAAGGUGGUCAACCAGAAAGCAGCACUGAUGCCAUGGCCAGAUGCCCUCCCCACCCCACCCUAUGUGCAGAAGAUGCUCAGUGAGGGCUGGAUGAAUGGACCGAUUUUGUUAAAUGAACCUGAGAAGCCACAUGGUUUAUUUCUAAGAGUCUUUUUAGUUUAACUGAAUAAUGGAAUGGUGAACUUAAAAGAUAAGCAGGUGUGCUGGUGCAUGCUUAUAAUCCCAGCUGUUCCAGAGGCCGAGGCAAGAGAAUCGCUUGAGCCCCGGAGUCUGAGGCUGCAGUGAGGUGUGAGUGUAUCACUGCACUCCAGCCUGGGGAACAGAGCAAGGCCUUGUCUCUUAAAAGAAAAGAAAAAAAAAAAAAAAAAAAAGAAAAGAGACUGUCUUAACUAAGUGUCUGUUAAAUGUAGUUUAGCAAAAUCUGAAAACCCAGGAGCUCAGCUCAUCCUACCCAAUGUCAUUCACUGGAGAUAUUCAAAGAACCGAGGUGCUGUUAUGAGUUUUUAUUGUUACAGUUUCUAACGUGGUCUUGAGGUUUCCCUGUCAAGAGUGGCAGUAAGCCGAGAUAGCGCCUCUUUAGGGAAGCCCUGAUGGAAUGCGGUGUAGUUAGGUUUGGGUGUGUUGGUCAGCUAAGGCCCAAUGAGGUGAAACCAAAAUGCAUCAAACAGAGGAAAUGUCUUACUUACAGAUUCCAGAGACGGUGGGGGGGGGGGGGGGCCCCGGGGGGGGGGGGGGGGGGGGGGCCUCCAUGGGAGGUCUGGAGGCAGUGGCAGCAGAGCUCAUCCAGGAGGUGGGGAGCGAGUGAGAGUGAGUGAGCCUGUGGGGCUAUGCUUUUAUCAGGAUCCAGGGGCGUUACCCCUUAGGCUUUCCCAUGGGGGUCGUGGAUUCGUUAGUUUCAAGAAAACAGGUGCACAGGGGAAACUUACUGACACGACUCUGGUGUUAAUCAUCAGGUGUUACCACGGGCCCACAGGUGUGGGAAGUGUUGGGUUUUUGGUUGGUGGGAUGAGGAAGGGGCCUGGGCUCUAUUUUUCAAACAACACACAGGGAGGGAAAGUUUUAAUGAGGCCAGAGAGGGCAGGGGUACAACAAGGUUUCAAAACACUUAGGUCGGGCCUAAGAAUGGGUACCGAGGCAGGAGCUCUAUUGCACUAAUUUAGACAGGCACCUCCUGGGUCUGUGCUGUGAUAGGAAGUCUUUGCAACACCUGACGCUGGUUUCUCCAAUCAUGGUAGUUCCUCCUCCAGUUUCCUGAAGAGGCAGGCAGCAUGGGGCCGGAUCUCAGGGCAGUGGAUGGGACCGUGCAGGGUUUUCCCUUACCUGGUGAACAGGUCCCAUCCUUCAUGACAUUAACUGAAAUUGCCAUCACCUCUGUGACCUUGCCAGAGCUCCGGGAAGUCUGAAGUUAAACUGCAAAAGUGAGCCCACCAUGUGCUGUUCUGCUGCUUAUAAUUUUCAGCUUGUCCAUAAACACAAGCAAAUAAAUUGGCAUGAAUUAGCUAUGAGAUAUAUUUAUAUAUAAACGACUAUAAUGUCAUUAAGGUGAUUAUGGGACAUGAUUGAAAUGUUGGAUCCUAAAUACUUUCCUAAGUGCCACCUGAAACACGGGACUGCCAUUAACAUAAUGAGCAGAGAUAUGAAUAUUUCUGGCAAAGGCAUCCUGAAGUAAGUAAGCCUGAAACUCAGUAACACUGAACAACCGAGUUCCAAGAAUAUUUGCUUUUUACGUCAAAUCACCAAAUGAAACAUUCUGGAGGUGAAAAAUCUAAGUAGUUUCCUGAGAUUCUUCCUGUGGUUAAUUCAUAAUCCUGGUAUUGUUUUCACUAACUUUCUUCUUUUUUUUUUUUUUUUUUUGAGACAGUAUCUUGCUCUGUCACCCAGACUGGAGUGCAGUGGUGUGAUCAUAGCUCACUGCAGCCUCCACCUCCCAGGCUCAAGCCAUCCUCCUGCCUCAGCCUCCUAAGUAGCUGCAACUACAGGCAAACACCACCAUGCCCACCUAACUUUAAUUUUCUUUUUUUUUUUUUUUGGUAGAGAUGGGGUCUCACUAUGUUGCACAGGCUGGUCUGGAACUCCUGGCCUCAAGUGAUCCUCCUGCCUCAGCCUCCCAAAAUGCUGAGAUUACAAGCAUGAGCCACUGUGCCUGGCUUCUUCCCAUUUAAAAAAAUGAAAACACAUGGUGUAAUGUUAGCGUAUUUCCCUCUAGGCCAACAAUAUUUUUUUAAGUUGAGGACUCAAAAGAAAAAAAGGCAAGUGAUAAAGUCGUUUUAUUUCCACUUUACUCCUGCUGGAAGUUUUUGCAAAAGAGAGAAAAUAAUAAGAGCCCCUCCAGGAAUGGAGGGUGGAAACUCUGUGUCCAGGUUUGCUUUCUGUCAUCCACACCUUGAUAAGCCACAGAGAAGAGAGAGAGCCAACAGGUCACAUCCAAGGCACCACACUUGCAAUUAAUUUAUUAGGAACUCAUCAUUAGUCACCCCAGAGCUUUCAGAAAAGUAGUGUCCUCUUGAGUGGAUGUGCUUAUAUCCCUCAAAGCCUCAAAGCAGAAAAACAUUAAACUUGGUAACAGUUACAUUUUGUUCUUUGACUAGGAAGUAGUUAUAGUGACAAGGUACAAAAAAUAAUAAGCAUGCAGCCCUUUAUUUAGUUUUGCAAAGUCUCUGCUUAUAGUUCUGUAUAUUACAUGACUGUGUUAUACAAAUACAUUUAUUUACAAACACUCUAGCUGUGCAAACUUGUUGCUUUUUAAAAAUGUAUGGAUACUUCCAUUUCUGCCCAUCCCGAUAUAUACUUUUAAAGCAUGCAUAAAAAUUAACUUUGGUGUGGGAAAACUACUCUAUGUG